Molecule: microRNA precursor, 73 nt
Filed under: Tursiops truncatus (common bottlenose dolphin)
Lineage: Eukaryota; Metazoa; Chordata; Mammalia; Artiodactyla; Delphinidae
Description: miRNA (ENSTTRG00000023946.1)
Source: RNAcentral
UAUGUGUAUAUGUAAAUGUAUACACACACAUGCAUACAUGCAUAUAUAUGUGUGUGUGCUCUUAACAGCAAUA